UACGUAGGGGGCAAGCGUUAUCCGGAAUCAAUUGGGCGUAAAGCGCGUGUAGGCGGUUCCGUAAGUCCGCUCUGAAAGCCCAGGGCUCAACCCUGGGAGGCGGGUGGAUACUACGGAACUGGAGUACGGAAGAGGAGGAUUGGAAUUCCUGGUGUAGCGGUGAAAUGCGCAGAUAUCAGGAGGAACACCAACAGCGAAGGCAGAUCUCUGGGACGUUACUGACGCUGAGACGCGAAAGCGUGGGGAGCAAACAGGAUUAGACUACCCGUGG
Molecule: ribosomal RNA, 271 nt
Filed under: uncultured bacterium
Lineage: Bacteria
Description: partial 16S ribosomal RNA
Rfam family: Bacterial small subunit ribosomal RNA
Source: RNAcentral